AUAUUAUUUCAAUUAUACUUCACCUAUAUGAAUAAACUGAUUUUGGAGGUUUUAUGCACUAAAAGUACACUUUGGGCACUUCCUUUUUUAUUUUAGCAUUUCAAUUGGUCAAGCUAGACAUGGUAUCUUCUAUAUUCCACUUCUUUUAGCAGUCACAAGUUGGCUAAAACUCGAUAAGCAAAGCUUGGGCUCGGGCUUGAGCUAGCUUAAGCUAUACUCGUUUGCACCCCUACCUGUGAUUCAUGUGACUAAUCAUUGAGUUCUGCUGGAUCUAUUUCUCCCUUUUCAAGAGUGUUUGGAUGUUUCAGCUGAUUGGAUUCUUCUGGUGCUUGUUCUCUGUAGAUAUGGCUGAUGACUGCUGGCUUGCAACAUGCAAGGAUAACAUGAAUUGUGAUAUAACGUCUCCAUACUAUGGUGAAAACCGUAUUAUGGGGGAUUAUGCAUUUUUUAACACAAGUUGCAAACCUCUUCAACCAUCUUAAAUAACUCUCUGGUAGUAAGCAUUUUAUUAUUUUUCAAUCAGUUAGCUCGCUUGGUCAAAACCUCAAGACAAGUACCUACUUAUGGGAUUCUUGAACAGGUAUUAUUCUAGUUUCUUCUUCUAGGCAACAUAUAUCUUCACUCAAUGACAUUAAGAGUAGAAAUGAGGGUAAAAAGGAGGGAUGCAGAGGUAUGGAUGUCCCACAAGAUGCUUCCUGAAGAUCUGAAGGAAGGUGUGACACUCUAUGAACAAAAGAAAACAGGAAGUCAAUGAAGAAUCUCUUGUUCACAAGCUGCCCGAGGACUUAUGGAAGGACAUAAAGUUCAAUGGACAAUACAACCGGCAACCAAACUGCCAAAUUGUUCAUGUAAAAUAACAUCAGGCAUAUAUAAUAAUAUCUCAUACUGCUCCAAGUAUAGAAAAAAACCCACAAAUCAGUAGCAUCACAAGGCUGUUUGGAAGGUUUUAUUAUCAAACCCAGCAACCUAUUCCUUAUAUUGCCUUUUCCAUUGUAAUUGACCCGUUUAUUUUUAUUUUGAUUACAUUGUAAUAUUGAGUUUGGACAUAUGUUAAUAUAUAAGGGUAUCUUUUGCAUUUUUCUUACUA
This is a long non-coding RNA of Helianthus annuus (common sunflower), 1087 nucleotides long. RefSeq lists it as uncharacterized. Lineage: Eukaryota; Viridiplantae; Streptophyta; Magnoliopsida; Asterales; Asteraceae. The record is from RefSeq and is a predicted model, not a curated record. The transcript is spliced from 2 exons.